This 1114-nucleotide non-coding RNA is filed under the name Crotaphatrema lamottei. RNAcentral's name for it is "12S ribosomal RNA". The stretch from base 144 to 949 matches the Rfam family "Microsporidia small subunit ribosomal RNA". Lineage: Eukaryota; Metazoa; Chordata; Amphibia; Gymnophiona; Scolecomorphidae. The record is from RNAcentral.
CUAAAAGUUUGGUCCUAGCCUUACUAUCAUUUAUAACCAGUUUUAUACAUGCAAGUUUCCGCACCCCAGUGAACAGCCCAACCAAAAGCAGGAGCUGAUAUCAGGCACAUAACCCUUAUAGCCAAAAACAUCCAGAUAAUCCACACCCUCAAGGGCAUGCAGCAGUGAUAAACAUUGAAUAUGAGCAAAAACUAAGCUCGACACAGAAAUGGUUAACAGAGUCGGUAAAUCUCGUGCCAGCCACCGCGGCUAUACGAAAGACACAAACUGAUACUUUGACGGCGUAAAGCGUGGUAUAACCUAAAUUUAUUCUCUAAGGCUAAAAUCUUACUAAACUGUUAUACGUUGAAUAGAAAGACAUAAACCCAACAACGAAAGUAGCCUUAUUUUACCAAACAUUUUUACCCCACCACCGCUAAGACACAAACUGGGAUUAGAGACCCCACUAUGCUUAGCCACAAACUGCUUAUACUACUACCAUCCGCCAGAAAACUACGAGCAAUAGCUUAAAAUUCAAAGGACUUGGCGGUGCCCCAAACCCACCCAGAGGAGCCUGUUCUUUAAUCGAUAAUCCACGCUUUACCUCACCAUCUCUAGCCACUUCAGCCUAUAUACCACCGUCACCAGCUAACCUUGUGAAAGAACAAAAAUUAGCAAAAUGAAUUCUAACUCAAUACGUCAGGUCAAGGUGUAGCACACGAGAUGGGAAGAAAUGGGCUACAUUUUCCUAUUAAGAACUUACGAAUUCAUGUAAUGAAAACAACAUAUGAAGCAGGAUUUGGCAGUAAAAAGAAACUAUAAAAUUCUUUUUAAAAAGGCCAUGGGGCGCGCACACACCGCCCGUCACUCUCAUCAACUAAAAUAACAACAAACAUAUUUAAAUUACCUCUACCUAGAUGAGGAAAGUCGUAACAUGGUAAGCGCACUGGAAAGUGCUCUUGGAUUAAUCAAAAUGAAAAAUACUACUUAAAAAAAGACAUUUUGAAACACCAUACAAAUCCUAUUCUGAUCAAUUGCAGCCAACGCAGUAAUCCUAACCUGAAUUGGCGGACAACCAGUAGAAGACCCUCUAAUUUUAAUUGGACAAAUUUCAACUGUAAUUUAUUCCCCUACA